GAUGAACGCUGGCGGCGUGCCUAAUACAUGCAAGUCGAGCGAACAGACGAGGAGCUUGCUCCUCUGACGUUAGCGGCGGACGGGUGAGUAACACGUGGAUAACCUACCUAUAAGACUGGGAUAACUUCGGGAAACCGGAGCUAAUACCGGAUAAUAUAUUGAACCGCAUGGUUCAAUAGUGAAAGACGGUUUUGCUGUCACUUAUAGAUGGAUCCGCGCCGCAUUAGCUAGUUGGUAAGGUAACGGCUUACCAAGGCAACGAUGCGUAGCGGACCUGAGAGGGUGAUCGGCCACACUGAAACUGAGACACGGUCCGGGCUCCUACGGGAGGCCGCCGUAGGGAAUCUUCCGCAAUGGGCGAAAGCCUGACGGAGCAACGCCGCGUGAGUGAAGAAGGUCUUCGAAUCGUAAAACUCUGUUAUUAGGGAAGAAGAAGUGUGUAAGUAACUAUGCACGUCUUGACGGUACCUAAUCAGAAAACCACGGCUAACUACGUG
This 497-nucleotide ribosomal RNA is filed under the name uncultured bacterium. RNAcentral's name for it is "partial 16S ribosomal RNA". It matches the Rfam family "Bacterial small subunit ribosomal RNA", at positions 28 to 507 of the family's 1533-position model. The record is from RNAcentral.